Molecule: unclassified non-coding RNA, 248 nt
Filed under: plant metagenome
Description: partial contains small subunit ribosomal RNA, internal transcribed spacer 1, and 5.8S ribosomal RNA
Rfam family: 5.8S ribosomal RNA (bases 201-248)
Source: RNAcentral
UAUCCGUAGGUGAACCUGCGGAGGGAUCAUUACAGAGUUCAUGCCCUACCGGGUAGAUCUCCCACCCUAUGUUAUUAUUACUUUGUUGCUUUGGCGGGCCGUUAGGCUCCGGCCCGACUACCGGCCCCGGCUGGUAAGCGCCCGCCAGAGGACCCAAAACCCUGAAUAUUAGUGUCGUCUGAGUACUAUAUAAUAGUUAAAACUUUCAACAACGGAUCUCUUGGUUCUGGCAUCGAUGAAGACGCAGC